GUGGGGAAUAUUGGACAAUGGGCGCAAGCCUGAUCCAGCCAUGCCGCGUGAGUGAUGAAGGCCUUAGGGUUGUAAAGCUCUUUCGUCAGGGAAGAUAAUGACGGUACCUGAAGAAGAAGCCCCGGCUAACUUCGUGCCAGCAGCCGCGGUAAUACGAAGGGGGCUAGCGUUGCUCGGAAUCACUGGGCGUAAAGCGCACGUAGGCGGCUUUCUAAGUCAGGGGUGAAAUCCUGGAGCUCAACUCCAGAACUGCCUUUGAUACUGGAGAGCUUGAGUUCGGGAGAGGUGAGUGGAACUGCGAGUGUAGAGGUGAAAUUCGUAGAUAUUCGGAGGAACACCAGUGGCGAAGGCGGCUCACUGGCUCGAUACUGACGCUGAGGUGCGAAAGCGUGGGGAGCAAACAGGAUUAGAUACCCGUGUAGUCC
RNAcentral lists this ribosomal RNA (425 nucleotides) under uncultured bacterium. RNAcentral's name for it is "partial 16S ribosomal RNA". It matches the Rfam family "Bacterial small subunit ribosomal RNA", at positions 354 to 796 of the family's 1533-position model. The record is from RNAcentral.